RNAcentral lists this ribosomal RNA (301 nucleotides) under uncultured bacterium. RNAcentral's name for it is "partial 16S ribosomal RNA". It matches the Rfam family "Bacterial small subunit ribosomal RNA", at positions 509 to 807 of the family's 1533-position model. The record is from RNAcentral.
CAGUAGCCGCGGGAAUACGGAGGGGGCUAGCGUUGUUCGGAAUUACUGGGCGUAAAGCGCACGUAGGCGGUUUUGUAAGUCAGAGGUGAAAGCCCGGAGCUCAACUCCGGAACUGCCUUUGAGACUGCAUCACUUGAACGUCGGAGAGGUGAGUGGAAUUCCGAGUGUAGAGGUGAAAUUCGUAGAUAUUCGGAAGAACACCAGUGGCGAAGGCGGCUCACUGGACGACUGUUGACGCUGAGGUGCGAAAGCGUGGGGAGCAAACAGGAUUAGAUACCCCUGUAGUCCCUGUCUCUUAUAC